Non-coding RNA from Dermacentor andersoni, 1071 nucleotides. The record is from RefSeq and is a predicted model, not a curated record. NCBI's taxonomy places the organism in Eukaryota, Metazoa, Arthropoda, Arachnida, Ixodida, Ixodidae.
ACCCUAAUGGCCCACCGGUUAUCUAACCUACGCAUUACAUGGCCUGCCCAGCUCCAUUUUUUUUUUCUCUUCAGGUCAAUUAGAAUAUCAUCUAUACCCAUUUGCUCUCUGAUUCAAACCACUCUCUGUCUCUUAUCGUUAUGCCUAGCAUUCUUCGUUCCGUCGCUCUUUGCAUGGUCCUUAACUUGUUCUCAGGCUUCUUUGUUAGUCUCCCAAUUUCCUGCCCCAUAUAUCAGCACCGGUAAAAGGCACUAAUUGUACACCUUCCUUUUUAACGAUAAUGGUAAGCUUUCAGUCAGGAGCUGACAAUGUCUGCUGUAUGCGCUCCAACCCAUUUUUAUUCUUCUGUAAAUUUCCUUCUCAUGAUCAGGGUUCCUUGUGAGUAAUUGACCUAGGUAAAUGUACUCCUUCACAGACUCUAGAGGCUGACUGGCGAUCCUGAACUCUUGUUCCCUUGCCCGGCUAUCAUGAUCAUUCGGUUUGUCUUCUGCAUAUUAAUCUUCAACCCCACUCUUACACUUUCUUUGUUAAGGUCCUCAAUCAUUUGUUGUAACUCGUGUCCAGUGUUAUUGAACACGACAAUGUCAUCUGCAAACCGAAGGUUGCCGAGAUAUUCGCUGUCGGUCCUUACUCCUAAGCCUUCUCAGUUUAAUAGCUUGAAUACUUCUAAGCACGCAGUGAAUAGCAUUGGAGAGAUUGUGUCUGCUCGUCUGACCCCUUUCUUUUUAGGUAGCUUCUGACUUUUCUUGUGAAGAAUUAAGGUAGCUGUGGAGUCACUGUACAUACUUGCCAAGAUAUUUACCAGUGGACCUUUCUUGGACCGGCACGGCCUUAUCUGCCGGUAGCUCCGGGGCACGGUGCAGCUGUCGGCUGUUGAAGAUGGCGGUUGUGCUUCACAUGUCCACGGCGUACGAGCAACAAAGUGUGAUUCGAUUUCUAUGGAGCAAGGGACAAAUGCCCAAGCAAAUCCAUACGGAAAUGCAGUCCACAUAUGGGGAAAGGUGUCUCCCUUUGUGAAGUGUGAGGUGAUAGCGUUGUCAAUAAAUCAAUAAAGUAAGUUUGCGAAAGGUC